GCGUUAUCCGGAAUUAUUGGGCGUAAAGCGUCCGCAGGCGGCCCUUCAAGUCUGCUGUUAAAAAGUGGAGCUUAACUCCAUCAUGGCAGUGGAAACUGUUGGGCUUGAGUGUGGUAGGGGCAGAGGGAAUUCCGGUGUAGCGGUGAAAUGCGUAGAUAUCGGGAAGAACACCAGUGGCGAAGGCGCUCUGCUGGGCCAUCACUGACGCUCAUGGACGAAAGCCAGGGGAGCGAAAGGGAUUAGAUACCCCUGUAGUCCUGGCCGUAAACGAUGAACACUAGGUGUCGGGGGAAUCGACCCCCUCGGUGUCGUAGCCAACGCGUUAAGUGUUCCGCCUGGGGAGUACGCACGCAAGUGUGAAACUCAAAGGAAUUGACGGGGGCCCGCACAAGCGGUGGAGCAUGUGGUUUAAUUCGAUGAUACCCGUAGAACCUUACCUGGACUUGACAUAUAGGGUCAAGCUAUAGAGAUAUAGUGUGCAUUAGCGCCCUAUACAGGUGGUGCAUGGCU
RNAcentral lists this ribosomal RNA (510 nucleotides) under uncultured Prochlorococcus sp. RNAcentral's name for it is "bacterial SSU rRNA". It matches the Rfam family "Bacterial small subunit ribosomal RNA", at positions 538 to 1050 of the family's 1533-position model. The record is from RNAcentral. Lineage: Bacteria; Bacillati; Cyanobacteriota; Cyanophyceae; Synechococcales; Prochlorococcaceae.